Molecule: ribosomal RNA, 253 nt
Filed under: uncultured bacterium
Lineage: Bacteria
Description: partial 16S ribosomal RNA
Rfam family: Bacterial small subunit ribosomal RNA
Source: RNAcentral
UACGUAGGAGGCGAGCGUUGUCCGGAAUCACUGGGUGUAAAGCGCGUGUAGGCGGCCUGCCAAGUCUGCUGUGAAAGCGCCUGGCUUAACCGGGCGAGGUCGGUGGAAACUGGCGGGCUGGAGGACGGUAGAGGGGGGUGGAAUUCCCGGUGUAGUGGUGAAAUGCGUAGAGAUCGGGAGGAACACCGAUGGCGAAGGCAGCCCCCUGGGCUAGCACUGACGCUCAGGCACGAAAGCGUGGGGAGCAAACAGG